This is a long non-coding RNA of Oncorhynchus tshawytscha (Chinook salmon), 487 nucleotides long. RefSeq lists it as uncharacterized. The transcript has 3 exons. The record is from RefSeq and is a predicted model, not a curated record. Lineage: Eukaryota; Metazoa; Chordata; Actinopteri; Salmoniformes; Salmonidae.
AACCACCACGCUGCAUUUUGGUCCGACUCUCCUUCAACAGACGAACGCCGUUACAGGCAUUCCCUCCAGUUAGGACGGACCAUGGAGGAGAAAACAACACUGUCUGCUUGUUGAAUACUACUUCUACAAACGAGGCUACACUUGUGGCAGCACCUAUUCCUGUGCCCCCUCCCAUCUUCUGCACCACUUCUUGUGGCCUCCCUCCACCUAUACCACAUCCUGUGGCCUCCCCUCCACCAUUAUCAUCCAUCUUCACCACACUCUUCUGUUGAUGUUGGUGAUGACAGUGAUAUUGACCUCCAAACACUGUUGAAGUUAAUGAGAUGCCAACCAAAUUAACGUGAUGAGGGACAACAUUUAUGAUUGUGCAAUGAGAGGCUUUAAGAGAGUCCGCUUUAAUCCGGAGGCAAAAAUAGGGGAGACCAUAUGCUGGUGCGGUUGGCCCUGGGUUCCUCCUAAUGCAAGACAAUGCUAGACCUCAUGUGGC